UCAACAUCAUAUAGUAACUACGGCUAGCUCAUGAGUUUUAUUCAAUAAUAAAUGAGUAUUUCUAUAGUUGUGACUUUGUCACAUUUCUUUGUUUUUCACAGUACCUCCCUCAGAAUUGCUUUUACUUUUCAUGUACUUUUUCUUCUUGUUAAAUUUUCUUUUUGAUUUUUUUCUUUUUGCAGUUUUAAGCUAACCUAUAAUCACUAUACUCUACUGAUCUCUCCUAUUGCUCUGUUUUUACAAAACCACUGUAAUGUAUCUACUGAACCCUCAAUAUGUAUUGCCAGAUGUCUAUAAUCAUGCAAAUUAGGACCAAAGAAAAGGGUAAGCACAAAUGAUCAUUUUUAGCACAGGCUUUGUAUAAAGGUUC
This 370-nucleotide long non-coding RNA is filed under the name Gossypium raimondii (Peruvian cotton). RNAcentral's name for it is "long non-coding RNA (GRAI_LNC002778)". The record is from RNAcentral. Lineage: Eukaryota; Viridiplantae; Streptophyta; Magnoliopsida; Malvales; Malvaceae.